This 1178-nucleotide ribosomal RNA is filed under the name uncultured bacterium. RNAcentral describes it as "bacterial SSU rRNA". It matches the Rfam family "Bacterial small subunit ribosomal RNA", at positions 195 to 1387 of the family's 1533-position model. The record is from RNAcentral.
UAGGGGUCAAAGGAGGAAUCCGGUGAAGGGUGGGCUCGCGUCCGAUUAGCUAGUUGGUGUGGUGACGGCCCACCAAGGCGACGAUCGGUAGCCGACCUGAGAGGGUGAUCGGCCACAUUGGAACUGAGAGACGGUCCAAACUCCUACGGGAGGCAGCAGUGGGGAAUAUUUGGCAAUGGGGGAAACCCUGACCCAGCAACGCCGCGUGAAGGAAGAAGGUCUUCGGAUCGUAAACUUCUAUCCUCGGUGAAGAGGAGAAGACGGUAGCCGAGAAGGAAGCCCCGGCUAACUACGUGCCAGCAGCCGCGGUAAUACGUAGGGGGCAAGCGUUGUCCGGAAUGAUUGGGCGUAAAGGGCGUGUAGGCGGCUAAGUAAGUCUGGAGUGAAAGUCCUGCUUUUAAGGUGGGAAUUGCUUUGGAUACUGCAUAGCUAGAGUGCAGGAGAGGUAAGUGGAAUUCCCAGUGUAGCGGUGAAAUGCGUAGAGAUUGGGAGGAACACCAGUGGCGAAGGCGACUUACUGGACUGUAACUGACGCUGAGGCGCGAAAGUGUGGGGAGCAAACAGGAUUAGAUACCCUGGUAGUCCACACUGUAAACGAUGAAUGCUAGGUGUAGGGUGGUAUGGACCCCAUCUGUGCCGGGAGUAAACACAAUAAGCAUUCCGCCUGGGGAGUACGGCCGCAAGGUUGAAACUCAAAGGAAUUGACGGGGGCCCGCACAAGCAGCGGAGCAUGUGGUUUAAUUUGAAGCAACGCGAAGAACCUUACCAGGUCUUGACAUCCAGUAAAGCCUGUAGAGAUACAGAGACCCUUCGGGGGUACUGAGACAGGUGGUGCAUGGUUGUCGUCAGCUCGUGUCGUGAGAUGUUGGGUUAAGUCCCGCAACGAGCGCAACCCUUAUGAUUAGUUACUAACGGGUAAAGCCGAGGACUCUAAUGAGACUGCCGGGGACAACUCGGAGGAAGGUGGGGACGACGUCAAAUCAUCAUGCCCCUUAUGACCUGGGCUACACACGUGCUACAAUGGCCACUACAAAGAGGAGCGAGCCCGUAAGGGGGAGCGGAUCUCAAAAAAGUGGUCCCAGUUCGGAUUGUGGGCUGCAACCCGCCCACAUGAAGUCGGAGUUGCUAGUAAUCGCGGAUCAGCAUGCCGCGGUGAAUACGUUCCCGGGCCUUGCACA